RNAcentral lists this ribosomal RNA (538 nucleotides) under Cetonia magnifica. Its description in RNAcentral is "eukaryotic LSU rRNA". It matches the Rfam family "Eukaryotic large subunit ribosomal RNA", at positions 710 to 1209 of the family's 3401-position model. RNAcentral also lists the same sequence under 1 other name. The record is from RNAcentral. Lineage: Eukaryota; Metazoa; Arthropoda; Insecta; Coleoptera; Scarabaeidae.
AAAGGCGUAAUGAAAGUGAAGGCCCGCCUAGCGCGGGCCGAGGGAGGAUGGGUGUCCCCGAGGGGACGCCUCGCACUCCCAGGGCGUCUCGUUCUCAUUGCGAGAAGAGGCGCACCAUGAGCGUACACGCUGGGACCCGAAAGAUGGUGAACUAUGCCUGGUCAGGACGAAGUCAGGGGAAACCCUGAUGGAGGUCCGUAGCGAUUCUGACGUGCAAAUCGAUCGUCGGAACUGGGUAUAGGGGCGAAAGACUAAUCGAACCAUCUAGUAGCUGGUUCCCUCCGAAGUUUCCCUCAGGAUAGCUGGCGCUCGUUUCUCGCGAGUCUCAUUCGGUAAAGCGAAUGAUUAGAGGCAUUGGGGUCGAAACGGCCUCAACCUAUUCUCAAACUUUAAAUGGGUGAGAUCUCCGGCUUGCUUGAACUGUGAAGCCGCGAGAUAUCGGAUCAGAGUGCCAAGUGGGCCACUUUUGGUAAGCAGAACUGGCGCUGUGGGAUGAACCAAACGCUGAGUUAAAGCGCCUAAAUCGACGCUUAUGGGA